RNAcentral lists this unclassified non-coding RNA (291 nucleotides) under uncultured Helotiales. RNAcentral describes it as "sequence contains ITS1". The stretch from base 1 to 105 matches the Rfam family "5.8S ribosomal RNA", at positions 50 to 154 of the family's 154-position model. Lineage: Eukaryota; Fungi; Ascomycota; Leotiomycetes; Helotiales. The record is from RNAcentral.
GAAAUGCGAUAAGUAAUGUGAAUUGCAGAAUUCAGUGAAUCAUCGAAUCUUUGAACGCACAUUGCGCCCCUUGGUAUUCCGGGGGGCAUGCCUGUUCGAGCGUCAUUAUAACCCUCAAGCCUAGCUUGGUGUUGGAGCCUGCCUCUGGGCAGCUCUUAAAAUCAGUGGCGGUGCCGUCUGGCUCUAAGCGUAGUAAUUUUUCUCGCUACAGAGUCCUGGCGGUUGCUUGCCAACAACCCCAAAUUUUCUAUGGUUGACCUCGGAUCAGGUAGGGAUACCCGCUGAACUUAA